Schizosaccharomyces pombe (fission yeast) is the source of this 523-nucleotide non-coding RNA. The record is from the annotation of a GenBank genome assembly. Lineage: Eukaryota; Fungi; Ascomycota; Schizosaccharomycetes; Schizosaccharomycetales; Schizosaccharomycetaceae.
UUUUUUAAGUGAGGAGCAUUUUUCAGAAUUGCUAAUUUCACAUUCCAAUGUAAAUAAUUUUCAUCAAGGGCAUUUGACAAGUAAGUUAGCAACAUCUCAUUACAAUUCUUAUUUCCAGGUCUGCUGGAAUUAAACAUGGCAUAGACGCUAUUGCGCUGAAGCGCAAUUUUUUCCUCAAGAUUCAAUUCAUCAUCUUUAUCAAACCAUUCCUUCUGCAAAAAUGUACCACAUUCAUUUAAUGAUAGUUCAUACAAAUCAAGCUCUCUAUAAUUUUCAUCAGAUAACAGUUCACCAACACUUUCCAUUGCAUGGCUUUUGUAAACAAUAUUGCGUCUCUUAAAUUCUCUAACAAUCACUUGGUGAACUUCUUCCAUUUUUUGCGAUUUAAUGAACUCAGGAUAUUUAAUUAAAAAUUUAACAUAAGCCUCAAGCAGUAAUUCCUUCCCAGGCCAGCUUUUAUCUUUCAUUGUUUCAUUUAAAAGCACGUAGAUAUCAUUUUGUCGAUAAGUGAGUCGCGAAGUAU